Molecule: ribosomal RNA, 225 nt
Filed under: Triticum aestivum (bread wheat)
Lineage: Eukaryota; Viridiplantae; Streptophyta; Magnoliopsida; Poales; Poaceae
Description: partial small subunit ribosomal RNA
Source: RNAcentral
AUGGACCAAUCCAUCCCUUUUUCUCGCGCAUAUGCAUCGGACUCCGAUGACGAUGGUCCCGAUGAAGAAGUUGAUGAGGGGUUCAAGCCCAAGGAGGCCCAAGCAUUUAACAAGCUAUUCGGGCGGGAUCACAAGACACCAUCGUUCAAGGAAAUUAGUCUCGCGGAUGAAGCCAUUGUAGAUGGUGGCAAAUGUAUAUCUCUUGGAGCUAGGCCAAGUUCUCAC